GCGUGGGGGCCACCCCCUCGUCGCCUUGUAGGUGGGUGGGUGAGGAGGUGGCUAUGCGAUGCGUGUCGGUGGGCUGGGUUGUCGUCGUGUGUGUGCGCGCGUGUGUGUGUGUGUGAGAGGGGUGGGGCAUGAGAAAGCGCGGUAAAUUUCGGGUGUGCGGCGCGCCAAGGCUGACCUAUAUAGCGCAGAGCUCACUGGUGGUGCUGCUGCUGCUGUUCUUCGCCUGCACCGCCCAGCCUGCAUCCCAUUGAUCAGCAAUUGGUUCCUGGCUGUGUGCAGUUGAGCAUCCACCGCACUUUAAAUCGACGCGUUUCGUCCUAGCCGCUCGCUCUCUCUCUCUCUGCGCGCGCUCACCUCCCUAGCCCGUUCAGAGUCCGCACCCAUCUCGCCUUCGCAGACGUUUUAAAAGCCGCCGAGCUCACAAGUAACAAUGGUAAGUAUUAACACGUGACGACAAACGCAACUUCGUGGAAGUUGCUGGCCCUCUUGUGAAGAAGGGUCGCGCGCAAAGCCGAAGAGGCUUGCGCGAGUCCGUUGGUUGUCCGACGUUUCGGCAGGAGCUCUUGGUCGCGCCCUGCGAGUUGUUUGUCACAAGGCGAUUACAAAAAAAAAAUAAAGUUCGCGUGGACUUCGUGUAGCUGCUGUUCAUCAAAGGCGUUUCCGCGGGUGUAAUAAGACGGUCCUUUUGGGAGCACAAGCAAUUUCAUGCGGUGGCACCACGCAGACAGAACGGGCAUGGCAGGCGAGACGGACGGGUGUCCGAGUCUCUGUGAUCCCACUGUGCCGAAGCGCCACCAAAUGCCCAUCAGACCUCGGCCAGUCUGGCAUGCGAGGGAACACGCAAGCUUGCCUCGCCACACACAGAAGGAAAACCAUUGUUUGGAGUCGACGGUCCAGAAAUCCCUGCACCCAAUGCUGAGGAAAAGCCUCGGCCUGGCAACGACUUCGCAGUGCAAGCUCAACGGGGCGGC
Petromyzon marinus (sea lamprey) is the source of this 971-nucleotide non-coding RNA. The record is from RefSeq and is a predicted model, not a curated record. Lineage: Eukaryota; Metazoa; Chordata; Hyperoartia; Petromyzontiformes; Petromyzontidae.